CCUAGGGAGGCUGCAGUGGGGAAUAUUGGACAAUGGGGGAAACCCUGAUCCAGCAAUGCCGCGUGUGUGAAGAAGGCCUGCGGGUUGUAAAGCACUUUCGGUUGGGAGGACUGCUUCUAGCACUAAUAUUGUUGGAAGUUGACGUUACCUUCAGAAGAAGCACCGGCUAACUCCGUGCCAGCAGCCGCGGUAAUACGGAGGGUGCAAGCGUUAAUCGGAAUGACUGGGCGUAAAGCGCGCGUAGGCGGCUAGAUCAGUCGGGUGUGAAAGCCCCGGGCUUAACCUGGGAACUGCAUCCGAUACUGUCUAGCUUGAGUACAGGAGAGGAGAGUGGAAUUCCACAUGUAGCGGCGAAAUGCGUAGAUAUGUGGAGGAACACCAAUGGCGAAGGCAGCUCUCUGGCCUGAUACUGACGCUGAGGUGCGAAGGCGUGGGGAGCAAACAGGAUUAGAUACCCUUGUAGUC
RNAcentral lists this ribosomal RNA (465 nucleotides) under uncultured bacterium. RNAcentral's name for it is "partial 16S ribosomal RNA". It matches the Rfam family "Bacterial small subunit ribosomal RNA", at positions 338 to 795 of the family's 1533-position model. The record is from RNAcentral.